This is a long non-coding RNA of Papaver somniferum (opium poppy), 264 nucleotides long. RefSeq lists it as uncharacterized. The record is from RefSeq and is a predicted model, not a curated record. The transcript has 4 exons. NCBI's taxonomy places the organism in Eukaryota, Viridiplantae, Streptophyta, Magnoliopsida, Ranunculales, Papaveraceae.
CAAUCGUUCUACGAGCUGAACAUUGGUCUGGAUAAAGAAGGAUAAUGGAACACUUUGGAGAUUGUGCUAUUACGUGCGAGCAGCUGAAAAUGAUAAACGACUUUCAUUAGCGGAACUGCAGCAAGGAAAGGUCGUGGUGAUAAACUAAGAUAAUGGAAUUUAGCAAUAUUUUUCUUACAAGAAGCUAGACGAAGGCUGGUUAGGCAAUGCAGAUAAAGUUUCUGCACCGGAGUUUGCAAAGGUACUGAUGGAAAGAAAGGUGGU